GACGAACGCUGGCGGCGUGCUUAACACAUGCAAGUCGAACGGAAAGGCCCUGCUUGCAGGGUACUCGAGUGGCGAACGGGUGAGUAACACGUGGGUGAUCUGCCCUGCACUUCGGGAUAAGCCUGGGAAACUGGGUCUAAUACCGGAUAGGAGCCAUUUUUAGUGUGAUGGUUGGAAAGUUUUUUCGGUGUAGGAUGAGCUCGCGGCCUAUCAGCUUGUUGGUGGGGUAAUGGCCUACCAAGGCGGCGACGGGUAGCCGGCCUGAGAGGGUGGACGGCCACAUUGGGACUGAGGGACGGCCCAGACUCCUAAGGGAGGAAGCAGUGGGGAAGAUUGAACAAUGGGCGCAAGCCUGAUGCAGAGAGGCCGCGUGGGGGAUGACGGCCUUCGGGUUGUAAACGCCUUGCGCGAGGGACGAAGCUUUUUGUGACGGUACCUAGAUAAGAAGCACCGGCUAACUACGUG
This 465-nucleotide ribosomal RNA is filed under the name uncultured bacterium. RNAcentral's name for it is "partial 16S ribosomal RNA". It matches the Rfam family "Bacterial small subunit ribosomal RNA", at positions 28 to 507 of the family's 1533-position model. The record is from RNAcentral.